Vigna radiata var. radiata (mung bean) is the source of this 281-nucleotide long non-coding RNA. RefSeq lists it as uncharacterized. The record is from RefSeq and is a predicted model, not a curated record. Lineage: Eukaryota; Viridiplantae; Streptophyta; Magnoliopsida; Fabales; Fabaceae. The transcript is spliced from 3 exons.
AUAGUAAAUGAUGACAUGGUGGCCACAGGUGGAACUCUGUCAGCAGGAGUAAAACUUCUAAGUGAUUUGCAAGCUCUUUUUGGGGUGGGGAAGGGCCUCACUUUUUGUCUAUAUUCUUUUCUUCUUUAUUUCACUUGUGAUGGUUCAAUGGAUGUGGUCCCUUCUUUCAAGUUAUUUUGUAGAACGUGUUGGUGCUCAAGUAGUGGAAUGUGCUUGUGUCAUUGGUGUGCCUGAUGUCAAGGGGCAGUGCAGGCUCAUUGGAAAGCCACUUUAUGUUCUUG